GACGAACGCUGGCGGCGUGCCUAAUACAUGCAAGUCGAGCGCAGGAAGCCGUCUGAACCCUUCGGGGGGACGACGGUGGAAUGAGCGGCGGACGGGUGAGUAACACGUAAAGAACCUGCCCAUAGGUCUGGGAUAACCACGAGAAAUCGGGGCUAAUACCGGAUGUGUCAUCGGACCGCAUGGUCCGCUGAUGAAAGGCGCUCCGGCGUCGCCCAUGGAUGGCUUUGCGGUGCAUUAGCUAGUUGGUGGGGGAACGGCCCACCAAGGCGACGAUGCAUAGCGGACCUGAGAGGGUGAUCGGCCACACUGGGACUGAGACACGGCCCAGACUCCUACGGGGGGAAGCAGUAGGGAAUCGUCCACAAUGGACGAAAGUCUGAUGGAGCAACGCCGCGUGAACGAUGAGGGCUUUCGGGUCGUAAAGUUCUGUUGUAAGGGAAGAACAAGUGCCGCAGGCAAUGGCGGCACCUUGACGGUACCUUGCGAGAAAGCCACGGCUAACUACGUGCCAGCAGCCGCCGUAA
Molecule: ribosomal RNA, 524 nt
Filed under: uncultured bacterium
Lineage: Bacteria
Description: partial 16S ribosomal RNA
Rfam family: Bacterial small subunit ribosomal RNA
Source: RNAcentral